UUUCUGCACCACAGAGCUUGUCAAACAUGUUGCUGCUGUAAUUUCACAGGAACUUUAAUCCAAAGUCUCAGAUGUGAUCCGACGAGAGUAAAGUGCAGUUUUCCUCCGCUCCUCAAGGCGGCAGAAGCGGGUUCUCCUUCAGUCUGACGCUUCUGCUGCUUGACAACAUGACACUUGAUGACAAUCACAACAACGCGAGCAGAUACUGCAGAUAGGAAGAUGACAGCUCUUAAUGUCACUUUAACAGCACAUAUUACAGCUCAACCGCAAAUAAAACCGACGCAAUCAAACGACACAUAAAUGAGGAACCGAGUACGGCACAAGACUCACCUAAGGAAUGUGUUUGGACCAUUACAUCCAGUCAUCAGAAGCAGAGCUGUGGGACGUGUGGACAGACAUUGACUGUAAUGAUGGACUUCUGCUGAUGGACAGCAUAACCCCUGCUGU
This is a non-coding RNA of Pimephales promelas (fathead minnow), 447 nucleotides long. The record is from RefSeq and is a predicted model, not a curated record. Lineage: Eukaryota; Metazoa; Chordata; Actinopteri; Cypriniformes; Leuciscidae.